GUGGGGAAUAUUGGACAAUGGGCGCAAGCCUGAUCCAGCCAUGCCGCGUGAGUGAUGAAGGCCCUAGGGUUGUAAAGCUCUUUCAACGGUGAAGAUAAUGACGGUAACCGUAGAAGAAGCCCCGGCUAACUUCGUGCCAGCAGCCGCGGUAAUACGAAGGGGGCUAGCGUUGUUCGGAAUUACUGGGCGUAAAGCGCACGUAGGCGGAUCGUUAAGUCGGGGGUGAAAUCCCGGGGCUCAACCCCGGAACUGCCUUCGAUACUGGGGGUCUAGAGUUCGAGAGAGGUGAGUGGAACUCGGAGUGUAGAGGUGAAAUUCGUAGAUAUUCGGAAGAACACCAGUGGCGAAGGAGACUCACUGGCCCAAUACUGACGCUGAGGCGCGAAAGCGUGGGGAGCAAACAGGAUUAGAAACCCUGGUAGUCC
Molecule: ribosomal RNA, 425 nt
Filed under: uncultured bacterium
Lineage: Bacteria
Description: partial 16S ribosomal RNA
Rfam family: Bacterial small subunit ribosomal RNA
Source: RNAcentral